UGGGGGGUCGUCUAAGGGCAGGACAGGGGCCUUUGGAGCCUCUAGUGGGGGUUCGAAUCCUCCCCCCCCAGCCA
RNAcentral lists this transfer RNA (74 nucleotides) under Deltaproteobacteria bacterium. RNAcentral's name for it is "tRNA-Gln". It matches the Rfam family "tRNA". Rfam says of the family: Transfer RNA (tRNA) molecules are approximately 80 nucleotides in length. RNAcentral also lists the same sequence under 1 other name. Lineage: Bacteria; Pseudomonadati; Myxococcota; Myxococcia. The record is from RNAcentral.